RNAcentral lists this ribosomal RNA (497 nucleotides) under uncultured bacterium. RNAcentral describes it as "partial 16S ribosomal RNA". It matches the Rfam family "Bacterial small subunit ribosomal RNA", at positions 28 to 507 of the family's 1533-position model. The record is from RNAcentral.
GAUGAACGCUGGCGGCGUGCCUAAUACAUGCAAGUCGAGCGAACAGACGAGGAGCUUGCUCCUCUGACGUUAGCGGCGGACGGGUGAGUAACACGUGGAUAACCUACCUAUAAGACUGGGAUCACUUCGGGAAACCGGAGCUAAUACCGGAUAAUAUAUUGAACCGCAUGGUUCAAUAGUGAAAGACGGUUUUGCUGUCACUUAUAGAUGGAUCCGCGCCGCAUUAGCUAGUUGGUAAGGUAACGGCUUACCAAGGCAACGAUGCGUAGCCGACCUGAGAGGGUGAUCGGCCACACUGGAACUGAGACACGGUCCAGACUCCUACGGGAGGCAGCAGUAGGGAAUCUUCCGCAAUGGGCGAAAGCCUGACGGAGCAACGCCGCGUGAGUGAUGAAGGUCUUCGGAUCGGAAAACUCUGUUAUUAGGGAAGAACAAAUGUGUAAGUAACUAUGCACGUCUUGACGGUACCUAAUCAGAAAGCCACGGCUAACUACGUG